This 258-nucleotide ribosomal RNA is filed under the name uncultured bacterium. Its description in RNAcentral is "partial small subunit ribosomal RNA". It matches the Rfam family "Bacterial small subunit ribosomal RNA", at positions 26 to 285 of the family's 1533-position model. The record is from RNAcentral.
AGGACGAACGCUGGCGGCGUGCUUAACACAUGCAAGUCGAGCGGAAAGGCCCUUCGGGGUACUCGAGCGGCGAACGGGUGGAGUAACGACGUAGGAGCAAUCUGCCCCUAGCUCUGGGAUAGCUCCGGGAAAACCGGGAUUAAUACCGGAUAUGACCACUUUAGACAUCUGCUGUGGUGGAAAGAAUUUCGGCUAGGGAUGAGCUCGCGGCCUAUCAGCUUGUUGGUGGGGUAACGCCUACCAAGGCGACGACGGGUA